Molecule: ribosomal RNA, 1561 nt
Filed under: Klebsiella pneumoniae
Lineage: Bacteria; Pseudomonadati; Pseudomonadota; Gammaproteobacteria; Enterobacterales; Enterobacteriaceae
Description: 16S ribosomal RNA
Rfam family: Bacterial small subunit ribosomal RNA
Source: RNAcentral
AGAGUUUGAUCAUGGCUCAGAUUGAACGCUGGCGGCAGGCCUAACACAUGCAAGUCGAGCGGUAGCACAGAGAGCUUGCUCUCGGGUGACGAGCGGCGGACGGGUGAGUAAUGUCUGGGAAACUGCCUGAUGGAGGGGGAUAACUACUGGAAACGGUAGCUAAUACCGCAUAACGUCGCAAGACCAAAGUGGGGGACCUUAGGGCCUCAUGCCAUCAGAUGUGCCCAGAUGGGAUUAGCUAGUAGGUGGGGUAACGGCUCACCUAGGCGACGAUCCCUAGCUGGUCUGAGAGGAUGACCAGCCACACUGGAACUGAGACACGGUCCAGACUCCUACGGGAGGCAGCAGUGGGGAAUAUUGCACAAUGGGCGCAAGCCUGAUGCAGCCAUGCCGCGUGUGUGAAGAAGGCCUUCGGGUUGUAAAGCACUUUCAGCGGGGAGGAAGGCGNNNNNNNNNNNNNNNNNNNNNNNNNNNNNNNNNNNNNNNNNNNNNNNNNNNNCGAUUGACGUUACCCGCAGAAGAAGCACCGGCUAACUCCGUGCCAGCAGCCGCGGUAAUACGGAGGGUGCAAGCGUUAAUCGGAAUUACUGGGCGUAAAGCGCACGCAGGCGGUCUGUCAAGUCGGAUGUGAAAUCCCCGGGCUCAACCUGGGAACUGCAUUCGAAACUGGCAGGCUAGAGUCUUGUAGAGGGGGGUAGAAUUCCAGGUGUAGCGGUGAAAUGCGUAGAGAUCUGGAGGAAUACCGGUGGCGAAGGCGGCCCCCUGGACAAAGACUGACGCUCAGGUGCGAAAGCGUGGGGAGCAAACAGGAUUAGAUACCCUGGUAGUCCACGCCGUAAACGAUGUCGAUUUGGAGGUUGUGCCCUUGAGGCGUGGCUUCCGGAGCUAACGCGUUAAAUCGACCGCCUGGGGAGUACGGCCGCAAGGUUAAAACUCAAAUGAAUUGACGGGGGCCCGCACAAGCGGUGGAGCAUGUGGUUUAAUUCGAUGCAACGCGAAGAACCUUACCUGGUCUUGACAUCCACAGAACUUUCCAGAGAUGGAUUGGUGCCUUCGGGAACUGUGAGACAGGUGCUGCAUGGCUGUCGUCAGCUCGUGUUGUGAAAUGUUGGGUUAAGUCCCGCAACGAGCGCAACCCUUAUCCUUUGUUGCCAGCGGUUAGGCCGGGAACUCAAAGGAGACUGCCAGUGAUAAACUGGAGGAAGGUGGGGAUGACGUCAAGUCAUCAUGGCCCUUACGACCAGGGCUACACACGUGCUACAAUGGCAUAUACAAAGAGAAGCGACCUCGCGAGAGCAAGCGGACCUCAUAAAGUAUGUCGUAGUCCGGAUUGGAGUCUGCAACUCGACUCCAUGAAGUCGGAAUCGCUAGUAAUCGUAGAUCAGAAUGCUACGGUGAAUACGUUCCCGGGCCUUGUACACACCGCCCGUCACACCAUGGGAGUGGGUUGCAAAAGAAGUAGGUAGCUUAACCUUCGGGAGGGCGCUUACCACUUUGUGAUUCAUGACUGGGGUGAAGUCGUAACAAGGUAACCGUAGGGGAACCUGCGGUUGGAUCACCU